UCGAUGAAAGACGCAGCAAACUGCGCGUCGUCGUGUGAACUGCAGGACACAUGAACAUCGACAUUUUGAACGCACAUUGCGGCCCUGGGAUUCCAUCCAAGGGCCACGCCUGUCUGAGGGUCG
Molecule: ribosomal RNA, 123 nt
Filed under: Adelphocoris lineolatus
Lineage: Eukaryota; Metazoa; Arthropoda; Insecta; Hemiptera; Miridae
Also listed under: 1 other name
Description: partial 5.8S ribosomal RNA
Rfam family: 5.8S ribosomal RNA
About the family: 5.8S ribosomal RNA (5.8S rRNA) is a component of the large subunit of the eukaryotic ribosome. It is transcribed by RNA polymerase I as part of the 45S precursor that also contains 18S and 28S rRNA. Functionally, it is thought that 5.8S rRNA may be involved in ribosome translocation.
Source: RNAcentral